Long non-coding RNA from Eriocheir sinensis (Chinese mitten crab), 579 nucleotides. RefSeq lists it as uncharacterized. The record is from RefSeq and is a predicted model, not a curated record. The transcript has 4 exons. Lineage: Eukaryota; Metazoa; Arthropoda; Malacostraca; Decapoda; Varunidae.
GUGGGGUUCGUGGAUUCGUGAGGUAUGGACACUAACGACAGACGCUCAGCAGGAAAAGGCUGGUCGGGAUCAGGCCGGGUAGGGGCAGACACAGCUGCAGUGUGCAUGAUACCUUUCAAAUGAGCAUUGAUGUCACCAUCCUUACCGCGAGGAAUAACAGUACUGAGUCUUGUUCAUACGAAGAUGUGGGUGAUGCCAAAGGACGCUGCUGAUCAGACUCAACAGAGGUGCGGGUGCUGGAAGAGGCCGACCAAUUCCCAGAAGAAGAUAAGGCUACCAGAAAAGAACCACACAAUCAAAAUGAUUGGACCAAAAUCUGGGAAAUACAAUGCAUGUCUGGACAACGCCGGGAUAAGUCAGUCAAAGAUUUGGUUCAUGGCUAGGAAUUUGGCAAGAGUCCAGACUGUGUCACUUCAAAACAAAGGGUGCCUGUCUCUCACUUCUCCCCUGAAUCUCAUUGUUAUACAGUUUUUUUUGUUUAUUUAUUUUAUGCAAUAUUAAACUUGCCAACCCAGUCUUGGAAACUCCUAUCUGGAAAUCUUCAGGUUCAAAGCAUGAAGACCAAAUAGCCUUUUUGCA